AUUCCUACGGGAGGCAGCAGUGGGGAAUAUUGGACAAUGGGCGAAAGCCUGAUCCAGCAAUGCCGCGUGAGUGAUGAAGGCCUUAGGGUUGUAAAGCUCUUUUACCCGGGAUGAUAAUGACAGUACCGGGAGAAUAAGCCCCGGCUAACUCCGUGCCAGCAGCCGCGGUAAUACGGAGGGGGCUAGCGUUGUUCGGAAUU
RNAcentral lists this ribosomal RNA (200 nucleotides) under uncultured bacterium. RNAcentral describes it as "partial 16S ribosomal RNA". It matches the Rfam family "Bacterial small subunit ribosomal RNA", at positions 335 to 552 of the family's 1533-position model. The record is from RNAcentral.